UCGAAAGUUAUCGUUCGCCUAUGUAUCUCUAGAUCCAAUAGGGAAAUCAAGACUACAUAAUUAUGGUUUGAAAAUAAUUAGAUUAGUUUGGUUGACUUUUGUUGAUUGGGAAAAUAUCGAUGGAUUUGGUGGAGUUGAUUUUAAUUGAUUUUGAAAUAUUUAUAAUAUAUCAUUAUUUUAAUUCAAUGGAACUAAUAGCUUAGAGACGGUGUCUUCCCAUUUUUAGAGAAGUUAAAG
This 237-nucleotide long non-coding RNA is filed under the name Lupinus angustifolius (narrow-leaved blue lupine). Its description in RNAcentral is "long non-coding RNA (LANG_LNC002936)". Lineage: Eukaryota; Viridiplantae; Streptophyta; Magnoliopsida; Fabales; Fabaceae. The record is from RNAcentral.